Carassius gibelio (silver crucian carp) is the source of this 2508-nucleotide long non-coding RNA. RefSeq lists it as uncharacterized. The record is from RefSeq and is a predicted model, not a curated record. Lineage: Eukaryota; Metazoa; Chordata; Actinopteri; Cypriniformes; Cyprinidae. The transcript is spliced from 3 exons.
GAUUAUAUUGUAUGCUGUGAUAAUUUUUAUAGAUUUGCUGGUUCAUUAUUUAAACCAUUUAUUCCUUAACGCAAAUAUGUAGUAAGACUGAAGUUAAUGUGCAAUUGUCUGUCCAUUUAAUGAUAUUUAAGUACAAUAUUUGCAAUUAGAAAUGUAAGGUAUCUGUGUCAUGUUCUCUCCACAACAGAUAUGGGGAUCUUUCAGAAAUUCGCUAGACUUUCUCUGAAGUCCACAUAUAUUUGGUCACUGUGCCCACAGUACAGCAUUGCUCUCAGUGUAGACGGAAGAGCUCUGAAACCCACAGCAGAGGGUUUGGGAGCCAGUCCAGCCAACCUGGGUGCUGCCCCACCACGGUUACCCUUCUCCAGGGUCACACAGGAAGACCUUGCUUUCUUUAGAACACUGCUGCCUGGAAGAACCAUCACUGAUCCAGACCUGCUGAAGUCCAGCGAUGUAGACUGACUUAAGACAGUGAAAGGUAUAUUGAGCGGUGUGUCCAAAUUGAGGAAACACAGGUCUGGUUGGAGGAAGUGUCCCUGUUUUUGAUGAGAUCAUCCUUUCCACUUCAUUAAUGAACCAAGUCAUCACAUUCGACAAGAUCUCAGGUAUCCUCACUUGUCAGGCAGGCUGUGUGUUGGAGAACCUCUUAAGAGGAAAGAGACUUCAUUAUGCCGCUGGAUAGGGGUGAAGGGAAGCUGCCAUAUUGGAAGGAAUGUGUCCAUUAAUGCAGGUGGUCUCAAGACUGCUGUGCUAUGGGUCGCUUUGAGGGACAGUUCUAGGCCGAGAAGUGGUGAGGUCCUCCAGUUUAACAGAAAUGAACACCAACAUUAGACGCUUUUGUAAGGAUGAAAGAACCUGAGAUACCUUGAUCUCCUGAGAAACAGACAAUACAAACAUACACGGGCAUCUUCGAGACACCCCACAGAGUGGAGGUGCAGGAGACCUUUCCCUUCUGGCCAUUUGUUUCAUUUUAAAUCCUUUCCCCUAUGCUUCCUUCUACUCAAUCAGCUCAAAAUGAUUACUUGAAAUUGUCAAUGCAAGUGAACUAACAGUCAUGUCCGGUAUCAUUUGAAAUGUCUUGAGUGUAACUGGUAUAAUGGUCUCAGUCUUACAAAAGUAGAUUAAAAGAUUAUACAGAUCAUAAGAGUUAAGAUAUAUUUUGCUUACUGUAAUAGGAGUACCCCUUCCCAUGGUCCUCCAUGUUCCCAUUGAGUUGUAAAAUACGUUGUAAAUACAGCUAUCCAUCAGUACCCAGCUUAGUGAUGGUACUUUCAAAACUGCUUUUAUAAAUUUGUAGACAUUUUGAGUUACAUUUAUAUACAAUUAAAUAGUCUCUUAAACCAAGCCUGCUUAACCAACCUCUCCUUCAGAGUAGGGUAUAACGCGUUACACAGUAAUGCAUUACUGUAAUUAAUAACUUUUCCUGGUAAUGCGUAAUUUGAUUACAGUUAGUUAUGCCAAUACAAUUACGUUACUUAACAAAUACAGUGUUAACAAUUAUGAUGUUUUGCCCGUCAUUAUGCCUUUUAAUAAAUCACUGGAGAACGUGAGCUAAAAAAAAUCAUUUUCAUUCAUUUUAGUGAAUCGUUUUCAGGAAGAUAUCGACAGAGACUGAAUGCAGAAAGCGCACCCUAUUUCUUUUAUUUUUUUUAUUUAUCAGGUUUUUAAGAUAUUGGGAGUGUAGGCAAUAAAAAUAAUAUACUUGUGUAUUUUUCCAGUCAUUAUUAAAUGAAAGAACUAGGUUUUUCUCUUUGUAGCGUAUUUUCUAGGUUUGAUAACUUGAAAAGUAAACUUGAAAGUAAAGUAAUUCGUAAUCUGAUUCCUUUUAAACGCAGUAAUCACUAAUUUAAUUACAAUUUUACAGAAUUAGUAAUUUGUAUUGGAUUACUUUUUUUUUUUUUUUGAGUAACUUACCCAUCACUGCUCUCCUUAAAGCAAACAAAACAAGUCCUUUAACUAAAUUAAAUUACCCAAUACCCUCAUAUUAUACAGACAAUGUUAUUUCUUUAUUUAGGGAUAUGACAAACAAGCAUGAACAAUUGAUGAAAAUAUACAUAGUUAUCAAAUGCGUACCACAGCGAUUUUAGGCUAAGGCAAAAACAUGAGAUGAUGUGUGUGUUAUGAUUUAAAUUUGGUUGAUUUUGAAGAAAACACAAAGAAUUGCAGCCUCUUUGAACAUUCAUAAAAACAGUAGCUUAACCAUUUUUUAUUUGGAAAGAACUACCCGUUGAAAGGCGUACAGUUAGGAAUUGACAUUAUUCUUGGAAUUGUGUUUGAUGAUGCAUUGAAACUAUUGAGCCACAUCAAAAGAAGACCAUCUCAAAUUUUGAAGAAUUGAAUAAGCACUGAAUUCUUCAAAUAAAAGCCCAGCAACAUUUUUUUUUUUGCAUGUAAAUACACCAGAAUUUGUCUAAUGUUCCUCACUAACAAACAAUUGUUCAAUACAUUGAGACAAUAAAAUAUUGUCAUUAACAAUGGCUGUUAAUCCCCGCCAUCACAUACAAAGAA